CAACCUGCCGUCUACUCUUGGACAGCCUUCUGAAAGGAAGAUUAAUACAAGAUGGCAUCAUGAGUCCGCAUGUUCACAUGAUUAAAGGUAUUCCGAUAGACGAUGGGGAUGCGUUCCAUUAGAUAGUAGGCGGGGUAACGGCCCACCUAGUCUUCGAUGGAUAGGGGUUCUGAGAGGAAGGUCCCCCACAUUGGAACUGAGACACGGUCCAAACUCCUACGGGAGGCAGCAGUGAGGAAUAUUGGUCAAUGGGCGAGAGCCUGAACCAGCCAAGUAGCGUGAAGGAUGACUGCCCUAUGGGUUGUAAACUUCUUUUAUAAAGGAAUAAAGUCGGGUAUGUAUACCCGUUUGCAUGUACUUUAUGAAUAAGGAUCGGCUAACUCCGUGCCAGCAGCCGCGGUAAUACGGAGGAUCCGAGCGUUAUCCGGAUUUAUUGGGUUUAAAGGGAGCGUAGAUGGAUGUUUAAGUCAGUUGUGAAGGUUUGCGGCUCAACCGUAAAAUUGCAGUUGAUACUGGAUAUCUUGAGUGCAGUUGAGGCAGGCGGAAUUCGUGGUGUAGCGGUGAAAUGCUUAGAUAUCACGAAGAACUCCGAUUG
This 595-nucleotide ribosomal RNA is filed under the name uncultured Bacteroidota bacterium. RNAcentral's name for it is "bacterial SSU rRNA". It matches the Rfam family "Bacterial small subunit ribosomal RNA", at positions 122 to 715 of the family's 1533-position model. The record is from RNAcentral. Lineage: Bacteria; Pseudomonadati; Bacteroidota.